Molecule: small nuclear RNA, 104 nt
Organism: Molossus molossus (Pallas's mastiff bat)
Lineage: Eukaryota; Metazoa; Chordata; Mammalia; Chiroptera; Molossidae
Source: RefSeq, a predicted model, not a curated record
GUGCUCGCUUCAGCAGCACAUACACUAAAAUUGGAGCGAUACAGAGAUUAGCAUGGCCCCUGCAUGAGGAUGACACACGGAUUCGUGAAGCGUUCCAUAUAAGA